This is a non-coding RNA of Acanthosepion pharaonis, 88 nucleotides long. The record is from the annotation of a GenBank genome assembly. Lineage: Eukaryota; Metazoa; Mollusca; Cephalopoda; Sepiida; Sepiidae.
AGUUCCCAUACGAUCACUGAAGUUAAGCAACGUCGAGCCUGGUCAGUACCUAGCUGGAUGACUGCUUAAGAAUAACAGGUGCUGUAAG